UACGUAGGGUGCGAGCGUUGCCCGGAUUUAUUGGGCGUAAAGGGCGCGUAGGCGGCCCGGCACGUCCGUUGUGAAAUCGCCCGGCUCAACUGGGCGGGGUCAGCGGAUACGGUCGAGCUUGAGCAAGCUAGGGGGUAAUGGAAUUCCCGGUGUAGUGGUGGAAUGCGUAGAUAUCGGGAGGAACACCAGUGGCGAAGGCGGUUACCUGGGGCUUUGCUGACGCUGAUGCGCGAAAGCGUGGGGAGCGAUCCGG
RNAcentral lists this ribosomal RNA (253 nucleotides) under uncultured bacterium. Its description in RNAcentral is "partial 16S ribosomal RNA". It matches the Rfam family "Bacterial small subunit ribosomal RNA", at positions 524 to 776 of the family's 1533-position model. The record is from RNAcentral.